UAAUACGGGGGGGGCAAGCGUUGUUCGGAAUUACUGGGCGUAAAGGGCUCGUAGGCGGCCAACUAAGUCGGAUGUGAAAUCCCCAGGCUCAACUUGGGAACUGCAUCCGAUACUGGAUGGCUUGAAUUCGGGAGAGGGAUGCAGAAUUCCAGGUGUAGCGGUGAAAUGCGUAGAUAUCUGGAGGAAUACCGGUGGCGAAGGCGGCAUCCUGGACCGACAUUGACGCUGAGGAGCGAAAGCUAGGGGAGCAAACGGGAUUAGAUACCCCGGUAGUCCUAGCCCUAAACGAUGAAUGCUUGGUGUGACGGGUAUCGAUCCCUGUCGUGCCGAAGCUAACGCAUUAAGCAUUCCGCCUGGGGAGUACGGUCGCAAGGCU
This 376-nucleotide ribosomal RNA is filed under the name uncultured bacterium. RNAcentral describes it as "bacterial SSU rRNA". It matches the Rfam family "Bacterial small subunit ribosomal RNA", at positions 521 to 895 of the family's 1533-position model. The record is from RNAcentral.